RNAcentral lists this ribosomal RNA (372 nucleotides) under uncultured bacterium. Its description in RNAcentral is "bacterial SSU rRNA". It matches the Rfam family "Bacterial small subunit ribosomal RNA", at positions 527 to 896 of the family's 1533-position model. The record is from RNAcentral.
GUAGGGCGCAAGCGUUAUCCGGAAUUAUUGGGCGUAAAGAGCUCGUAGGCGGUUUGUCGCGUCUGCCGUGAAAGUCCGGGGCUCAACUCCGGAUCUGCGGUGGGUACGGGCAGACUAGAGUGAUGUAGGGGAGACUGGAAUUCCUGGUGUAGCGGUGAAAUGCGCAGAUAUCAGGAGGAACACCGAUGGCGAAGGCAGGUCUCUGGGCAUUAACUGACGCUGAGGAGCGAAAGCAUGGGGAGCGAACAGGAUUAGAUACCCUGGUAGUCCAUGCCGUAAACGUUGGGCACUAGGUGUGGGGGACAUUCCACGUUUUCCGCGCCGUAGCUAACGCAUUAAGUGCCCCGCCUGGGGAGUACGGCCGCAAGGCUA